UCUCCGUUGGUGAACCAGCGGAGGGAUCAUUACCGAGUUUACAACUCCCAAACCCAAUGUGAACCAUACCAAACUGUUGCCUCGGCGGGGUCACGCCCCGGGUGCGUCGCAGCCCCGGAACCAGGCGCCCGCCGGAGGAACCAACCAAACUCUUUCUGUAGUCCCCUCGCGGACGUUAUUUUUACAGCUCUGAGCAAAAAUUCAAAAUGAAUCAAAACUUUCAACAACGGAUCUCUUGGUUCUG
Molecule: unclassified non-coding RNA, 244 nt
Filed under: plant metagenome
Description: partial contains small subunit ribosomal RNA, internal transcribed spacer 1, and 5.8S ribosomal RNA
Source: RNAcentral